GACGAACGCUGGCGGCGUGCUUAACACAUGCGAGUCGAACGGAAAGGCCCUGCUUUUGUGGGGUGCUCGAUUGGCGAACGGGGGAGUAACACGUGAGUAACCUGCCCUUGUCUUUGGGAGAACUUCAGGAAACUGGGGCUAAUACCGGAUAGGAGCUCCUGCUGCAUGGGGGGGGUUGGAAAGUUUCGGCGGUUGGGGAUGGUCUCGCGGCUUAUCAGCUUGAUUGUGUGGUAGUGGCUUACCAAGGUUUUGACGGGUAGCCGGCCUGAGAGGGUGACCAGGCACAAUGGGACUGAGAUACGGACCAGAAGCCAACGGGAGGCAGCAGUGGGGAAUCUUGCACAAUGGGCGGAAGCCUGAUGCAGCAACGCCGCGUGCGGGAUGCCGGCCUUCGGGUUGUAAACCGAUUUCGACUGUGCCGAAGAGUGCGUGACGGUAAUGGGUAAAGAAGCCCCGGCUAACUACGUG
RNAcentral lists this ribosomal RNA (468 nucleotides) under uncultured bacterium. RNAcentral describes it as "partial 16S ribosomal RNA". It matches the Rfam family "Bacterial small subunit ribosomal RNA", at positions 28 to 507 of the family's 1533-position model. The record is from RNAcentral.